Molecule: ribosomal RNA, 410 nt
Filed under: uncultured microorganism
Description: bacterial SSU rRNA
Rfam family: Bacterial small subunit ribosomal RNA
Source: RNAcentral
GAGUUUGAUCGUGGCUCAGAACGAACGCUGGCGGCAGGCUUAACACAUGCAAGUCGUACGAGAACGUCUCGCUUCGGCGAGGCUAGUAAAGUGGCGCACGGGUGAGUAACGCGUGGGUAAUCUACCCUUGGGUACGGAUAACGUCUCGAAAGGGCGCUAAUACCGUAUAAGACCACAGCAACCCCGGUUGCAGAGGUAAAGCGGGCCUCUACAUGUAAGCUCGCGCCUGAGGAUGAGCCCGCGUCCCAUUAGCUUGUUGGUGAGGUGACGGCUCACCAAGGCCGCGAUGGGUAGCUGGUCUGAGAGGAUGAUCAGCCACACUGGGACUGGAACACGGCCCAGACUCCUACGGGAGGCAGCAGUGAGGAAUCUUGCGCAAUGGGGGAAACCCUGACGCAGCCAUGCCGCGU